AUUGAACGCUGGCGGAAUGCUUUACACAUGCAAGUCGAACGGCAGCACGGGGGCAACCCUGGUGGCGAGUGGCGAACGGGUGAGUAAUACAUCGGAACGUGCCCAGUCGUGGGGGAUAACGUAGCGAAGGUUACGCUAAUACCGCAUACGAUCUACGGAUGAAAGCGGGGGACCGUAAGGCCUCGCGCGAUUGGAGCGGCCGAUGUCAGAUUAGGUAGUUGGUGAGGUAAAGGCUCACCAAGCCGACGAUCUGUAGCUGGUCUGAGAGGACGACCAGCCACACUGGGACUGAGACACGGCCCAGACUCCUACGGGAGGCAGCAGUGGGGAAUUUUGGACAAUGGGCACAAGCCUGAUCCAGCCAUUCCGCGUGCAGGACGAAGGCCUUCGGGUUGUAAACUGCUUUUGUACGGAACGAAAAGGCUCUGGUUAAUACCUGGGGCUCAUGACGGUACCGUAAGAAUAAGCACCGGCUAACUACGUGCCAGCAGCCGCGGUAA
RNAcentral lists this ribosomal RNA (500 nucleotides) under uncultured bacterium. RNAcentral describes it as "partial 16S ribosomal RNA". It matches the Rfam family "Bacterial small subunit ribosomal RNA", at positions 30 to 523 of the family's 1533-position model. The record is from RNAcentral.